GCGUGGGUGAAGAAGGCCUUCGGGUUGUAAAGCCCUUUCAGUAGGGAAGAAAAGCUUGAGGUUAAUACCCUCGGGUCUUGACGGUACCUACAGAAGAAGCACCGGCUAACUCCGUGCCAGCAGCCGCGGUAAUACGGAGGGUGCAAGCGUUAAUCGGAAUUACUGGGCGUAAAGCGCGCGUAGGCGGUUAUGUAAGUCGGGUGUGAAAGCCCCGGGCUCAACCUGGGAACUGCGUCCGAUACUGCAUGACUAGAGUCUGGUAGAGGGAAGUGGAAUUCCGCAUGUAGCGGUGAAAUGCGU
This 300-nucleotide ribosomal RNA is filed under the name uncultured bacterium. RNAcentral describes it as "bacterial SSU rRNA". It matches the Rfam family "Bacterial small subunit ribosomal RNA", at positions 399 to 691 of the family's 1533-position model. The record is from RNAcentral.